AAGACUAUGACGUUGAUAGGUCGGGUGUGUAAGUGUAGCGAUACAUUGAGCUAACCGAUACUAAUGAACCGUGAGGCUUAACCUU
This 85-nucleotide ribosomal RNA is filed under the name Citrobacter freundii. RNAcentral's name for it is "partial 23S ribosomal RNA". It matches the Rfam family "Bacterial large subunit ribosomal RNA", at positions 2841 to 2925 of the family's 2925-position model. Lineage: Bacteria; Pseudomonadati; Pseudomonadota; Gammaproteobacteria; Enterobacterales; Enterobacteriaceae. The record is from RNAcentral.